This 372-nucleotide ribosomal RNA is filed under the name uncultured bacterium. RNAcentral's name for it is "bacterial SSU rRNA". It matches the Rfam family "Bacterial small subunit ribosomal RNA", at positions 521 to 895 of the family's 1533-position model. The record is from RNAcentral.
UAAUACGUAGGUGGCAAGCGUUGUCCGGAUUUAUUGGGUUUAAAGGGUGCGUAGGCGGUCAAUUAAGUCAGUGGUGAAAUACUUCAGCUUAACUGGAGAGGUGCCAUUGAUACUGGUUGACUUGAGUACUGAUGAGGUAGGCGGAAUGGACGGUGUAGCGGUGAAAUGCUUAGAUAUCGUCCAGAACACCGAUAGCGAAGGCAGCUUACUAAGGAGUAACUGACGCUGAGGCACGAAAGUGUGGGGAUCAAACAGGAUUAGAUACCCUGGUAGUCCACACUGUAAACGAUGAUUACUCGAUGUUGGCGAUACACGGCCAGCGUCUUAGCGAAAGCGAUAAGUAAUCCACCUGGGGAGUACGCCGGCAACGGU